CCUACGGGUGGCUGCAGUGAGGAAUAUUGGUCAAUGGGCGCGAGCCUGAACCAGCCAAGUAGCGUGAAGGAUGACUGCCCUACGGGUUGUAAACUUCUUUUAUAAAGGAAUAAAGUGAGGCACGUGUGCCUUUUUGUAUGUACUUUAUGAAUAAGGAUCGGCUAACUCCGUGCCAGCAGCCGCGGUAAUACGGAGGAUCCGAGCGUUAUCCGGAUUUAUUGGGUUUAAAGGGAGCGUAGAUGGGUUGUUAAGUCAGUUGUGAAAGUUUGCGGCUCAACCGUAAAAGUGCAAUUGAUACUGGCAGUCUUGAGAACAGGUGAGGUAGGCGGAAUGCGUGGUGUAGCGGUGAAAUGCUUAGAUAUUACGAAGAACUCCGAUUGCGAAGGCAGCUUACUGACGUGGAACUGACAUUGAUGCUCGAAAGUGUGGGUAUCGAACAGGAUUAGAUACCCGAGUAGUC
RNAcentral lists this ribosomal RNA (460 nucleotides) under uncultured bacterium. RNAcentral describes it as "partial 16S ribosomal RNA". It matches the Rfam family "Bacterial small subunit ribosomal RNA", at positions 338 to 795 of the family's 1533-position model. The record is from RNAcentral.